CUUCGCUGCCCAGACACCACGUAUAGCGAACUAGAGGGCAGAAUUUACACCAAUACCCUUUUAGUCUAUUACACUAUCAAUAAUCUAGUGGCUGGAUUUACAACAGAGCACACUUAGUUAAGAUAGGGUGAAAUCUAGCAAACUAUAAUAUACAACAGAGUCUGCUUAGUUUCGCCGAUCUCCCCGACCUAGCAACCAAAAUUUACACCUAGCAUGCUAGUCAAAGCAG
Molecule: non-coding RNA, 229 nt
Organism: Pelobates cultripes (western spadefoot toad)
Lineage: Eukaryota; Metazoa; Chordata; Amphibia; Anura; Pelobatidae
Source: the annotation of a GenBank genome assembly